AUCAAAACUUUCAACAACGGAUCUCUUGGCUCUGGCAUCGAUGAAGAACGCAGCGAAAUGCGAUAAGUAAUGUGAAUUGCAGAAUUCAGUGAAUCAUCGAAUCUUUGAACGCACAUUGCGCCCGCCAGCACUCUGGCGGGCAUGCCUGUCCGAGCGU
This 157-nucleotide ribosomal RNA is filed under the name Acremonium sp. As. RNAcentral's name for it is "5.8S ribosomal RNA". It matches the Rfam family "5.8S ribosomal RNA". From Rfam's summary of the family: 5.8S ribosomal RNA (5.8S rRNA) is a component of the large subunit of the eukaryotic ribosome. It is transcribed by RNA polymerase I as part of the 45S precursor that also contains 18S and 28S rRNA. Functionally, it is thought that 5.8S rRNA may be involved in ribosome translocation. Lineage: Eukaryota; Fungi; Ascomycota; Sordariomycetes; Hypocreales; Bionectriaceae. The record is from RNAcentral.